ACGCACGCUGGCGGCAUGCCUCACACCUGCAAGUCGCACGCGACCUUCGGGCCUAGUGGCGCACGGGUGCGUCACGCGUGGGAACCUGCCCUUAGGUUCGGAAUAACUCCCCGAAAGGGGUGCUAAUACCGGAUAAUGUCUUCGGACCAAAGAUUUAUCGCCUUUGGAUGGGCCCGCGUUGGAUUAGCUAGUUGGUAGGGUAAAAGCCUACCAAGGCGACGAUCCAUAGCUGGUCUGAGAGGAUGAUCAGCCACACUGGGACUGAGACACGGCCCAGACUCCUACGGGAGGCAGCAGUGGGGAAUAUUGGACAAUGGGCGAAAGCCUGAUCCAGCAAUGCCGCGUGAGUGAUGAAGGCCUUAGGGUUGUAAAGCUCUUUUACCCGGGAUGAUAAUGACAGUACCGGGAGAAUAAGCUCCGGCUAACUCCGUG
RNAcentral lists this ribosomal RNA (432 nucleotides) under uncultured bacterium. RNAcentral describes it as "partial 16S ribosomal RNA". It matches the Rfam family "Bacterial small subunit ribosomal RNA", at positions 29 to 507 of the family's 1533-position model. The record is from RNAcentral.